This 90-nucleotide transfer RNA is filed under the name Ignavibacteria bacterium GWA2_36_19. Its description in RNAcentral is "tRNA-Leu". It matches the Rfam family "tRNA". Rfam says of the family: Transfer RNA (tRNA) molecules are approximately 80 nucleotides in length. Their secondary structure includes four short double-helical elements and three loops (D, anti-codon, and T loops). Lineage: Bacteria; Pseudomonadati; Ignavibacteriota; Ignavibacteria. The record is from RNAcentral. RNAcentral also lists the same sequence under 6 other names.
GCCGGGGUGGCGGAACUGGUAGACGCACAGGACUUAAAAUCCUGUGGGAAUUACAUUCCCGUGCCGGUUCGAGUCCGGCCCUCGGUACUA